AAAACCCAUCUCAGUUCGGAUCGGAGUCUGCAACCCGACUCCGUGAAGCUGGAUUCGCUAGUAAUCGCGCAUCAGCCAUGGCGCGGUGAAUACGUUCCCGGGCCUUGUACACACCGCCCGUCAAGCCAUGAAAGCCGGGGGCGCCUGAAGACCGUGACCGCAAGGAGCGGCCUAGGGCGAAACUGGUAAUUGGGGCUAAGUCGUAACAAGGUAGCCGUACCGGAAGGUGUGGCUGGAACACCUCCUUU
This 248-nucleotide non-coding RNA is filed under the name Bacteroidales bacterium WCE2008. RNAcentral's name for it is "Bacterial small subunit ribosomal RNA". It matches the Rfam family "Bacterial small subunit ribosomal RNA", at positions 1278 to 1533 of the family's 1533-position model. The record is from Rfam by way of RNAcentral. Lineage: Bacteria; Pseudomonadati; Bacteroidota; Bacteroidia; Bacteroidales.